CUGUUUAGUAUAUAUUGCCGCACUUGCUAAUUUAUUUGCUGAUUUUAACGAUGGAGGGGAAAUUUAUGAACAUGCAAUAUUUGAAAUGAAAAAGAAAAAAAAAUAUUUUUUUCCAAUCCCUUCUAUUUUUGGUGUGGCUGCUAUGUUAAACCCUACUAUGAAAGCAGGAGGUCCUAACUUUUGGUAUAAUAGUAUUUAUCAAUCUUUUGAUCUUUCACCAGAAGAAAUGGCUACACUAUCUGAUGCGAAAGCAUUAAUUACAAUGAAUGCUCAAACUGUUUAUAAUGCUUAUAAACAGGCCUUAGAGCAUGCUAGGCCUAAUAUUCCAACUCCUACUUCGUCCACGUCACAAUCGUCUANN
RNAcentral lists this long non-coding RNA (361 nucleotides) under Nicotiana benthamiana. Its description in RNAcentral is "long non-coding RNA (NBEN_LNC011321)". The record is from RNAcentral. Lineage: Eukaryota; Viridiplantae; Streptophyta; Magnoliopsida; Solanales; Solanaceae.